ACCAGGUAUGGUGGGCGCGUGACUGUAGUACCAGCUACUUGGAAGGCUGAGGCAAGAGGAUUGCCUGAGUCCGGGAGUUCUGGGCUAUAGUGUGCUAUGCUGAUUGGGUGUCUGCACUAAGUGUGGCCCCAAUAUGGUGACCUCCUAGGAGCAGGGGACCAGCAGGUUGCCUAAGGAGGGGUGAACUGGCCCAGUUCAGAAAUGGAGCAGGUCAAAAGUCCUGUGCUGAUCAAUAGUGGGGCUGCACUUGUGAAUAGCCACUGCACUGCAGCCUGGGCAACAUAGCGAGACCCCAUCUCUU
Molecule: unclassified non-coding RNA, 301 nt
Organism: Macaca fascicularis (crab-eating macaque)
Lineage: Eukaryota; Metazoa; Chordata; Mammalia; Primates; Cercopithecidae
Rfam family: Metazoan signal recognition particle RNA
About the family: The signal recognition particle (SRP) is a universally conserved ribonucleoprotein. It is involved in the co-translational targeting of proteins to membranes.
Source: Ensembl